RNAcentral lists this long non-coding RNA (717 nucleotides) under Vigna radiata. RNAcentral describes it as "long non-coding RNA (VRAD_LNC016529)". Lineage: Eukaryota; Viridiplantae; Streptophyta; Magnoliopsida; Fabales; Fabaceae. The record is from RNAcentral.
GCGCAAGUUGAAAUAGAAAACUCUUAUAAGAUCGGGAUAAAUACAUCCUUUUUGUUCUACCAGAUGCGUUAGUCCUUGCUCAGCAAAAAUAUCUGGAAAUUGAAAACCAUAGAAACGGAAAAAGUCAAGAUGGAUAUACUUUACCGCCAUGAUUUUCCUUUCUUGCCAAGAAUUUACAAAGUCCGCAUGUUUUCCUUGAUCCGAUAUCCACCCAUCAAUGGUGGCAGGACGUGGUUGAGAGGAUGAGGAUGCUCCAGUAGCUCUGCGACGAUGCCUUCUUGAAUCAGCCAUGGAGGAAUUUUAAGAAAAUGACGUUUUGAGAAGGUGAAGAGAAAUGGAGAGGAUUUUAGCUCUAGAUUUGAUUUCAACAGUAUUUGGGGGCAAAGAAGUGUCUAAUAAUCGAUUAUGGGGGGCUAUUUAUAAGAAAAAUGGAAACACUAGUCAUUUAUGGCCAUUUAUAACCGUUAUGGGACGCUCCAACGGCUCUAUUUUUGAAACUGUUAGCNUGAUAAUCGAUUAUGGUUCGUGAUAAUCAAUUAUCUGCUCAAUAAUCGCUGCCCAGAAAUUGCAUGAUAAUCGAUUAUGCCUGAUGAUAAUCGAUUAUCUGUUCAAAAUUUUCCAGAUUUAAGUUUUGAGAUUGAAUAAUCGAUUAUUGCCUUGUGAUAAUCGAUUAUGAAGCGUUAAGUUUACGAAAAUGCAAAAAUUUUCAUAGGCUUU